Molecule: ribosomal RNA, 1512 nt
Filed under: Clostridium botulinum H04402 065
Lineage: Bacteria; Bacillati; Bacillota; Clostridia; Eubacteriales; Clostridiaceae
Description: 16S ribosomal RNA
Rfam family: Bacterial small subunit ribosomal RNA
Source: RNAcentral
UAAAUUUAGAGUUUGAUCCUGGCUCAGGACGAACGCUGGCGGCGUGCUUAACACAUGCAAGUCGAGCGAUGAAGCUUCCUUCGGGAAGUGGAUUAGCGGCGGACGGGUGAGUAACACGUGGGUAACCUGCCUCAAAGUGGGGGAUAGCCUUCCGAAAGGAAGAUUAAUACCGCAUAAUAUAAGAGAAUCGCAUGAUUUUCUUAUCAAAGAUUUAUUGCUUUGAGAUGGACCCGCGGCGCAUUAGCUAGUUGGUAAGGUAAUGGCUUACCAAGGCAACGAUGCGUAGCCGACCUGAGAGGGUGAUCGGCCACAUUGGAACUGAGACACGGUCCAGACUCCUACGGGAGGCAGCAGUGGGGAAUAUUGCGCAAUGGGGGAAACCCUGACGCAGCAACGCCGCGUGGGUGAUGAAGGUCUUCGGAUUGUAAAGCCCUGUUUUCUAGGACGAUAAUGACGGUACUAGAGGAGGAAGCCACGGCUAACUACGUGCCAGCAGCCGCGGUAAUACGUAGGUGGCGAGCGUUGUCCGGAUUUACUGGGCGUAAAGGGUGCGUAGGCGGAUGUUUAAGUGGGAUGUGAAAUCCCCGGGCUUAACCUGGGGGCUGCAUUCCAAACUGGAUAUCUAGAGUGCAGGAGAGGAAAGCGGAAUUCCUAGUGUAGCGGUGAAAUGCGUAGAGAUUAGGAAGAACACCAGUGGCGAAGGCGGCUUUCUGGACUGUAACUGACGCUGAGGCACGAAAGCGUGGGUAGCAAACAGGAUUAGAUACCCUGGUAGUCCACGCCGUAAACGAUGGAUACUAGGUGUAGGGGGUAUCAACUCCCCCUGUGCCGCAGUUAACACAAUAAGUAUCCCGCCUGGGGAGUACGGUCGCAAGAUUAAAACUCAAAGGAAUUGACGGGGGCCCGCACAAGCAGCGGAGCAUGUGGUUUAAUUCGAAGCAACGCGAAGAACCUUACCUGGACUUGACAUCCCUUGCAUAGCCUAGAGAUAGGUGAAGCCCUUCGGGGCAAGGAGACAGGUGGUGCAUGGUUGUCGUCAGCUCGUGUCGUGAGAUGUUAGGUUAAGUCCUGCAACGAGCGCAACCCUUGUUAUUAGUUGCUACCAUUAAGUUGAGCACUCUAAUGAGACUGCCUGGGUAACCAGGAGGAAGGUGGGGAUGACGUCAAAUCAUCAUGCCCCUUAUGUCCAGGGCUACACACGUGCUACAAUGGUAGGUACAAUAAGACGCAAGACCGUGAGGUGGAGCAAAACUUAUAAAACCUAUCUCAGUUCGGAUUGUAGGCUGCAACUCGCCUACAUGAAGCUGGAGUUGCUAGUAAUCGCGAAUCAGAAUGUCGCGGUGAAUACGUUCCCGGGCCUUGUACACACCGCCCGUCACACCAUGAGAGCUGGUAACACCCGAAGUCCGUGAGGUAACCGUAAGGAGCCAGCGGCCGAAGGUGGGAUUAGUGAUUGGGGUGAAGUCGUAACAAGGUAGCCGUAGGAGAACCUGCGGCUGGAUCACCUCCUUU